AUUCCUACGGGAGGCAGCAGUGGGGAAUAUUGCGCAAUGGGCGAAAGCCUGACGCAGCCAUGCCGCGUGUGUGAAGAAGGCCUUCGGGUUGUAAAGCACUUUCAAUUGGGAGGAAAGGUUCACGACUAAUACUCGUGAGCUGUGACGUUACCUUUAGAAGAAGCACCGGCUAACUCCGUGCCAGCAGCCGCGGUAAUACGGAGGGUGCGAGCGUUAAUCGGAAUUACUGGGCGUAAAGCGCGCGUAGGUGGUCUGUUAAGUCGGAUGUGAAAGCCCCGGGCUCAACCUGGGAACUACACCCGAUACUGGCAGACUAGAGUGCGGGAGAGGGAGGCAGAAUUCCACGUGUAGCGGUGAAAUGCGUAGAUAUGUGGAGGAAUACCGGUGGCGAAGGCGUUCCGCUGGGCCGUAACUGACACUCAGAGACGAAAGCUAAGGUAGCAAAUAGGAUUAGAUACCCUAGUAGUCUUAGCUGUAAACGAUGCACACUAUGUUUUGCAAUUUGCAGAGCAAUAGCUAACGCGUUAAGUGUGCCGCCUGGGGAGUACAUUCGCAAGGAUGAAACUUAAAGGAAUUGACGGAAU
RNAcentral lists this ribosomal RNA (584 nucleotides) under uncultured bacterium. Its description in RNAcentral is "bacterial SSU rRNA". It matches the Rfam family "Bacterial small subunit ribosomal RNA", at positions 335 to 919 of the family's 1533-position model. The record is from RNAcentral.